GGGGAGUAGCUCGGCGAAGACCGGAGUUAAUACCGCAUACGCCCUCGAGGGGGAAAGGUAGGGGGAGUCUUCGGACCGUCCACGUUAUUGGAGCGGCCGAUAUCAGAUUAGCUAGUUGGUGGGGUAAAGGCCUACCAAGGCGACGAUCUGUAGCUGGUCUGAGAGGAUGAUCAGCCACACUGGGACUGAGACACGGCCCAGACUCCUACGGGAGGCAGCAGUGGGGAAUUUUGGACAAUGGGCGAAAGCCUGAUCCAGCCAUGCCGCGUGAGUGAAGAAGGCCUUCGGGUUGUAAAGCUCUUUCAGGUGGAAAGAAAGCGGAUGGGUUAAUACCCUGUCCGGAUGACGGUACCACCAGAAGAAGCACCGGCUAACUACGUG
RNAcentral lists this ribosomal RNA (381 nucleotides) under uncultured bacterium. RNAcentral describes it as "bacterial SSU rRNA". It matches the Rfam family "Bacterial small subunit ribosomal RNA", at positions 138 to 507 of the family's 1533-position model. The record is from RNAcentral.